RNAcentral lists this ribosomal RNA (435 nucleotides) under uncultured bacterium. Its description in RNAcentral is "partial 16S ribosomal RNA". It matches the Rfam family "Bacterial small subunit ribosomal RNA", at positions 29 to 507 of the family's 1533-position model. The record is from RNAcentral.
AGCGAACGCUGGCGGCAGGCUUAACACAUGCAAGUCGAACGGGCUUCUUCGGAAGUCAGUGGCAGACGGGUGAGUAACACGUGGGAACGUGCCCUUCGGUUCGGAAUAACUCAGGGAAACUUGAGCUAAUACCGGAUACGCCCUUUUGGGGAAAGGUUUACUGCCGAAGGAUCGGCCCGCGUCUGAUUAGCUUGUUGGUGGGGUAACGGCCUACCAAGGCGACGAUCAGUAGCUGGUCUGAGAGGAUGAUCAGCCACACUGGGACUGAGACACGGCCCAGACUCCUACGGGAGGCAGCAGUGGGGAAUAUUGGACAAUGGGCGCAAGCCUGAUCCAGCCAUGCCGCGUGAGUGAUGAAGGCCUUGGGGUUGUAAAGCUCUUUUGUCCGGGACGAUAAUGACGGUACCGGAAGAAUAAGCCCCGGCUAACUUCGUG